This 695-nucleotide ribosomal RNA is filed under the name uncultured bacterium. RNAcentral's name for it is "bacterial SSU rRNA". It matches the Rfam family "Bacterial small subunit ribosomal RNA", at positions 27 to 704 of the family's 1533-position model. The record is from RNAcentral.
GGAUAACGCUAGCGGGAGGCUGACCACAUGGUUAAUCCGAGCGGUAGAGAUCUUCGGAAUCUUGAGAGCGGCGCACGGGUGCGGAACACUGUGUGCAACCUGCCUUUAUCUGGGGGAUAGCCUUUCGAAAGGGAGAUUAAUACCCCAUAAUAUACUGAGUGGCAUCACUUAUUAUUGAAAACUCCGGUGGAUAGAGAUGGGCACGCGCAAGAUUAGAUAGUUGGUGAGGUAACGGCUCACCAAGUCAAUGAUCUUUAGGGGGCCUGAGAGGGUGAUCCCCCACACUGGUACUGAGACACGGACCAAGACUCCUACGGGAGGCAGCAGUGAGGAAUAUUGGACAAUGGGUGAGAGCCUGAUCCAGCCAUCCCGCGUGAAGGACGACGGCCCUAUGGGUUGUAAACUUCUUUUGUACAGGGGAUAAACCUUUCCACGUGUGGAAAGCUGAAGGUACUGUACGAAUAAGCACCGGCUAACUCCGUGCCAGCAGCCGACGGUAAUACGGAGGGUGCAAGCGUUAUCCGGAUUUAUUGGGUUUAAGGGUCCGUACGCGGGAUCUGUAAAGUCAGUGGUGAAAAUCUCAUAAGCUUAACUAUGAAAAACUGCCCAUUUGAUACUGCCAGGGUCUUGAAGUAACGGUAAAAGUACGCUGGAAUAAGUAGUGUUAGCGGGUGAAAUUGCACUACGAUACUUAC